AGUCUUCUUCUUUGUCAAGCAUUUUCUCAACGCUAAAGCCUCCAUUAUUACCUCCAAUUAGUGGUACUACAACGAGGAAAUUGAGAGAUUCAAUUGAAGUUUCUGCCUGCUGCUCUUACCAGAAAUUCAUCCACAAACGCCAUACCCAUUUAAUUUCUUCUAUAUGGUGAUUUGCGUGUUUGAGCUUUUAUCCAACUUUAAUUGAUGUUUGGAGGAAUUUAUUACAAUUGAGAUUCAAUUGGGAUUUGAAAUUUAAAUUUCGUUUGUGGAUUUUUUUAAUCUAAUUGAACGAUUAAUAGAGUUGAAUGUUGCUGUCUGGAAUAGCAAUUCCAUCACUUAUGAUGAUUUGAACGGCACAGGAGAGCAAGUGCUUUUAUACACAUUGGAAUUUAUGCUAUCAGAUUGUUUGAUUCAACAACUUUUUCUGUUGCUGUAAAAUUAUAAAUUAUCUGACUUCUUUUGUGGCUAUUUCUUAGGAUUUAAUUGCAGAAGGUUCUAUCUCAAGGAUAUGAUAUGAUGAUACACUGUGGACAAUACAAACUAAAACUGGCAGGUAUUGCCUCAACUCCAUUAUCAUCAGUUUUUGGUGUUCUUUUACAUAUAAAAGAUAUAUGCAUGUUUCUAUAUACGUAUCUUUGUGAAUAUUAUUUGUUUCCAAAGGUAUUGUCAUAUAAUCCAGUUCAAUAUUGUGGCAUUAAGUGCUCUUUUAUUUAUACUAGAAAGGACUUUUUGUCAGAUACAACUUACUACAGAUUAUUUUGUUUAUUGAUGAACUUCUACUGUUAAAAGAGGGUUACAUUUUCAUACAUCCUAGAAAGAGAAAUUGAACUCUCAUUUGUGGAGAAAGGGAGUUUUGGAUGAUGGAGGAAUAGUUAAAUGCUUUAACAUUAGGGGCAGACCAAUUCACACAAUAAGGUGGGCAAUUACCCACCAUGAACUGGGUGGAAAAAAUUUAGUAGUGCUAAAAAUCUUAUUUAUAGAAGAAAUAAUGUAAAACUGUAAAUAUAUAAAAAUUUUGCCCAUCAUGAUUUUGAAACUUUUUUUGCUCUUGCAUCAAAUAUUGGAUGCGUCAUUUAUGGAUCUGGUUAACAUGAAGUUUAUUUUUUAGUAAGUUGGUCAAUUGACCAAUAGAAUGCUGACACACAUAGAGCCUCGCCUGCGUGUCAGCACUCUAUUGGCCAAUUGACCAACUUACCCAAAAAUAAACUUUAUGCUAACCACUUCCGUCAUUUAUAGAUCAGGGUUUCAAUAAUUAUCUACUUUAGCAUGUGAUGAGGGGAUUAUUUUUGGUGUUAUAUGGGAUUAUGGAUUGUAUUGUUUUGUGGUUAUCUAUUUAUUUAUUUUUGACUAAAUGGUGGCUCUUAAGGAAUUCUUUAAAUUUCUCAUGCUAUAUAUUAUAUUCAGGCAAGUACUUUUUAAUAUUAAUGUUACACUUAUAGUUUAGCUUAAAGAUUUUGCUUUGAUUUUACAUUCAUAAUUUUGUUCCAGCUUUUGGCUUUUGAAUGGGAACUCUCAUUAUGUGACCGAGGCGCAUAAUUUGUUUUGGAUAUAAAAUUUUGAUAUUUGUUUUUUAUUUAAAUUUUUUGGGAAUGAUAUGAAUAUAUGCACACUAAUGUGAUUAAUUGUGUGCUAAAAAUUUCAAAUUUUGUGCUUCAUUUGAUGUGUGGGUAAUGAAUUGGUUGAUGUGUGGGUUAUGAACUUCUUUUACCCUUUUGCUAUUUGAUCAUCCACCAACAUCUUUUGACACCUCCAAAGGUUGUAACUCUUGAUCAUUUUCUGUUUAUUUAGGUGGAUUGUUGGGUUUUUUGGAAAUCUCCAUAUGCUCUGUUGGGGAAAAGGUAACCAAGGAGUGAGAAAUAUCAAGGAGAUGGGUUUGUUUAUUUAUACAAGUGGGAAGGAUAAUGAGGUGGGGAAUUAUUGAGCUUUUUAUGGUGAAGCAGGUUCCUUUGUUCUUUAUGGUAUCAUUUGUUACCUGAGGGUAUAAUUGAGACAAAUACAUUCAAUUGAGCUUACACUCUGUUCUUGGAUUUUACAAUUAAUGAAAGAAUAAAAUAAAGUGACACCCCCUCUAGAUAAUCAUAAUAAUAUUCACCUCCCCUCUAGUUUCUUAAGUAACAGUUAGUACCCCUGCAAGUUCUUAGAGUUGACUAAAUAGAUAAAGUUACAUAUUUACCCUUGUAUUUUAUCAAAUUUUAAUUACUA
RNAcentral lists this long non-coding RNA (2202 nucleotides) under Panax ginseng (ginseng). RNAcentral's name for it is "long non-coding RNA (PGIN_LNC016940)". The stretch from base 1091 to 1212 matches the Rfam family "MIR6135 microRNA precursor family". The record is from RNAcentral. Lineage: Eukaryota; Viridiplantae; Streptophyta; Magnoliopsida; Apiales; Araliaceae.